This is a long non-coding RNA of Paramisgurnus dabryanus, 647 nucleotides long. RefSeq lists it as uncharacterized. Lineage: Eukaryota; Metazoa; Chordata; Actinopteri; Cypriniformes; Cobitidae. The record is from RefSeq and is a predicted model, not a curated record.
GUCCGACUUUCCCCCUGGGGGUUUGCAACGUUAGCGGCUGUGUGUUGUCUGUCGUGCUGGUGCCCUUGUGCUGUGAGUGGUGUACGUGAUGGUGUACCCUCAGUUGGCUAUGGGUUUUCCUGCUGUUGGUUAACCUGUGCCAUAAAACAGUAAAUUGUCUGGGGUGAUACCACUGUUCGGAGCUGGGGUCCCACGGGUGGAUGGAUCUGUCCGGUGGUGGUACUUCCUCCUCAGUGGGUGCUGUGUAACACUUGAAGUGUGUGGUUGUGUAAUCUGAGUGCACUGUGGUGUGUGUGUGUGCCUUUUUGUAAACACCAGUCGUGAUUAAGUGAUUCUUCUCGCUGGGAACCUCAGCCCUGCUGGUUAUUAUGUUUGUUUUGUUCUCAUUCACCUUAAUUUUGAGUGUGUGAUUGUGAUGCAUUUCCAAGUGGAGUGACUGUAUGUUUGGGAGUGCUCAUUUUAAAGGGGUUAUGUGUAAAUAAAAGUCUAUUUUUUUGUACUAUACCCACGUCUCUUGCUCACUCUUCCUUUUAAGAGGAACGAACUUGUGUGCCUUACUGCCCUUUUUGGGUGUAAUUAAUAUUUCCCUGGGUGUAAGUCCCAGGGUGGCGUAGUCGGAAUUUUAUGUAAGAUCUUUGCUUCCGUCA